UACGGAGGGUGCAAGCAUUAAUCGGAUUUAUUGGGCGUAAAGGGCGCGUAGGCGGGGAUGAAAGUCAGAUGUGAAAUCCCGGGGCUCAACCUCGGAACUGCAUUUGAAACUCCAUCUCUUGAGGGUGGGCGGAGAAAACGGAAUUCCACGUGUAGCGGUGAAAUGCGUAGAUAUGUGGAAGAACACCGGUGGCGAAGGCGGUUUUCUAGCUUAUUCCUGACGCUGAGGCGCGAAAGCAAGGGGAUCAAACAGG
Molecule: ribosomal RNA, 253 nt
Filed under: uncultured bacterium
Lineage: Bacteria
Description: partial 16S ribosomal RNA
Rfam family: Bacterial small subunit ribosomal RNA
Source: RNAcentral